This 429-nucleotide ribosomal RNA is filed under the name Gemmatimonadota bacterium. Its description in RNAcentral is "Gemmatimonadetes bacterium partial 16S ribosomal RNA". It matches the Rfam family "Bacterial small subunit ribosomal RNA", at positions 355 to 776 of the family's 1533-position model. Lineage: Bacteria; Pseudomonadati; Gemmatimonadota. The record is from RNAcentral.
UAGGGAAUCUUCGGCAAUGGACGAAAGUCUGACCGAGCAACGCCGCGUGAGUGAAGAAGGUUUUCGGAUCGUAAAACUCUGUUGUUAGAGAAGAACAAGGACGUUAGUAACUGAACGUCCCCUGACGGUAUCUAACCAGAAAGCCACGGCUAACUACGUGCCAGCAGCCGCGGUAAUACGUAGGUGGCAAGCGUUGUACGGAUUUAUUGGGCGUAAAGCGAGCGCAGGCGGUUUCUUAAGUCUGAUGUGAAAGCCCCCGGCUCAACCGGGGAGGGUCAUUGGAAACUGGGGGACUUGAGUGCAGAAGAGGGGGGUGGAAUUCCAUGUGUAGCGGUGAAAUGCGUAGAUAUAUGGAGGAACACCAGUGGCGAAGGCGGCUCUCUGGUCUGUAACUGACGCUGAGGCUCGAAAGCGUGGGGAGCAAACAGG